Molecule: long non-coding RNA, 1092 nt
Filed under: Heterocephalus glaber (naked mole-rat)
Lineage: Eukaryota; Metazoa; Chordata; Mammalia; Rodentia; Bathyergidae
Description: lncRNA (ENSHGLG00000033987.1)
Source: RNAcentral
CCCCCCCCCCCAGGCCUCCUGGCUGCAUAGGUACCUGGUCCUACAUUGCACACACUGCAGAAGCACAGGGGGUCAUAAAGGCCAUUGUCCUGAGCUGCAGAAGUUGUAGAAGUGAACAAUAAUACAAAGAGGGCCUCUCUCAGCCUCCUUAAUGGAAAUUGAAGCCCACUGGAAAAGUGAAAGGAAUCUCUGCAAUCAAGGCACACCAGACCACCAUAGUUGCUCCUUUUAGGUCCCCAUCCUGAAGGAUAAAGUGGCUGUAUCGAAGAGUUUAUUCACUAUAAACAUAUUUUGGGAAGGUCCUCAAUUUUGAUGUAAUUCACAUGGUUAAAGGUGAUAGAUUAAUAACUACCACAAAUUGUUAUUUUCUAAACUGUGCUUGAUGCUACUGUGUUGCUGAUUGUAUCCUUUGGGCUAAGGUAUUGUGAUUGAUCUAGUCAGUUCCUGGUAUAAUGAAAAUGAGAUUGUCCAGAGUCAUUAGAGACUCAAAACCUAAAGACCAGCUACAUCUAGAAGAUACCUCUGAGAAGCAAUCAUUCCAUAAGCAUUCUAAAUACAACCAACAAAGAUACUUACAAUAAGCAAUAUCAAAGUAUCAACCCAGGAAUUAAACCAAGGACAGUACCAACAACAAAAAUAAAAAUGAGAAGACAUUUAAGCAAGGCACAAACCCACACUUUCAGACCACCAAGGCAAAUUCUGGGGUAAACAAGGUGGAAAAUUCUGAUGCUCAACCACCUGGACACCCUGAACUGAUAGCACUGGAAGUAACAAAACAGAUGAAUGAGGCUCUAGAAAAAUUCAAAACAGAAAUAAUUUUCCAGAUAACUACAGAUAUGGUGAGUGGAAUGAAAGACAUGAUUAGAGACUCUAGAACAGAAACAGAUAAAAAAAAAAUAGCUGAGUUCAGGACCGUGAUAGAAACCAUGAAUGCCCAACAUAGGAAAGAAAUGGAAACCAUGAAUGCCCAACUUAGGAAAGAAAUGGAAUCCAUGAAAGAGAUUCAAACAGAUAUCCAGGAGAUGAAAAACUCCACUGAAAGCAUACACAGCACACUGAGCCAAUCUGAAGACAGAAUAUCAGAUAGAGAAG